AGGACGAACGCUGGCGGCGUGCUUAACACAUGCAAGUCGAACGAGAUCCAUUCAGUAGCAAUACUGAUGAAGAUCUAGUGGCGAACGGGUGCGUAACACGUGAGGAACUUGUCCCGGUCUCUGGGAUAACAGUUGGAAACGACUGCUAAUACCGGAUGACGUCGGAACUUCGCAUGGAGUACUGACGAAAGGGUUACUGGAUCGGGAGAGCCUCGCGGCCUAUCAGCUCGUUGGUGGGGUAAUGGCUCACCAAGGCUUCGACGGGUA
This 267-nucleotide ribosomal RNA is filed under the name uncultured bacterium. RNAcentral describes it as "partial small subunit ribosomal RNA". It matches the Rfam family "Bacterial small subunit ribosomal RNA", at positions 26 to 285 of the family's 1533-position model. The record is from RNAcentral.